AGUGAACGCUGGCGGUAGGCCUAACACAUGCAAGUCGAACGGCAGCACAGUAAGAGCUUGCUCUUACGGGUGGCGAGUGGCGGACGGGUGAGGAAUACAUCGGAAUCUACUUUUUCGUGGGGGAUAACGUAGGGAAACUUACGCUAAUACAGCAUACGACCUACGGGUGAAAGCAGGGGAUCUUCGGACCUUGCGCGAUUGAAUGAGCCGAUGUCGGAUUAGUUAGUUGGCGGGGUAAAGGCCCACCCAGGGGACGAUCCGUAGCUGGUCUGAGGGGAUGAUCGCCCACACUGGAGCGUGGACGCGGUCCAGGGUCCUGCGGUAGGGCGCAGUGGGCAAUAUGGGGCAAUAGGGGCAAACAUUACCCAGCCAUACCACGUGGGUGAAAGAGGCCUUGCGGUUGGGAAGCCGUUUUGUUGGUAAAGAAAAGCAGCAGGUUGAUACGCCGCUGUUCUGACGGCACCCAAAGAAGAAGCACCGGCUAACUUCGUG
This 492-nucleotide ribosomal RNA is filed under the name uncultured bacterium. RNAcentral describes it as "partial 16S ribosomal RNA". It matches the Rfam family "Bacterial small subunit ribosomal RNA", at positions 29 to 507 of the family's 1533-position model. The record is from RNAcentral.